CACCGCCCGUCACAUCACGAAAGUGGGUUGUACUAGAAGUCUGCGCCCUGACCCGCAAGGGGAGGAGCGGCCCAAGGUAUGACUCAUGAUUGGGGUGUA
Molecule: ribosomal RNA, 99 nt
Filed under: uncultured bacterium
Lineage: Bacteria
Description: partial 16S ribosomal RNA
Rfam family: Bacterial small subunit ribosomal RNA
Source: RNAcentral